Molecule: unclassified non-coding RNA, 329 nt
Filed under: soil metagenome
Description: partial contains 5.8S ribosomal RNA, internal transcribed spacer 2, and large subunit ribosomal RNA
Rfam family: 5.8S ribosomal RNA (bases 1-120)
Source: RNAcentral
GAUGAAGAACGUAGCGAAAUGCGAUAAGUAAUGUGAAUUGCAGAAUUCAGUGAGUCAUCGAAUCUUUGAACGCACAUUGCGCCCCCUGGUAUUCCGGGGGGCAUGCCUGUCCGAGCGUCAUUACAACCCUCAAGCUCAGCUUGGUGUUGGGCCCCGCCGCCCCGGCGGGCCCUAAAGUCAGUGGCGGUGCCGUCCGGCUCCGAGCGUAGUAAUUCUUCUCGCUCUGGAGGUCCGGUCGUGUGCUCGCCAGCAACCCCCAAUUUUUUUCAGGUGGACCUCGGAUCAGGUAGGGAUACCCGCUGAACUUAAGCAUAUCAAUAAGCGGAGGA